Cannabis sativa is the source of this 2701-nucleotide long non-coding RNA. RefSeq lists it as uncharacterized. The transcript is spliced from 4 exons. The record is from RefSeq and is a predicted model, not a curated record. NCBI's taxonomy places the organism in Eukaryota, Viridiplantae, Streptophyta, Magnoliopsida, Rosales, Cannabaceae.
CAAAAAGUCUCAUCGUGACAAGGUUAAAAGUCUCAUCUAACCCUAAACUCUUUUAAACCAAAUACAAAAAAACCCUACUCUUACCUUCUCUUUCUUCAACGAUAUUAUAACAAGCCUCCAAUUCAAGAACAAGGCUUGAAUUGCAUAAAGCUUUAAAAAUCUUUGUAUAUUCCUGAAUCGUAACCAUCAGUGGUUGACUCUCUUUGCCAAUCAUCUGGGAUUCCUUGGAAUGGGGUGAGAGCUUGCUAGAAUUUUCGAUAUUACCAAGCUUUUUGAUCAAUUCUCUGAUGACGAAGUUGUCGUUUGAGAUGUUCGGUAACUAUAAGACUAUCUUGGAGGGUGUUGCGGCGACUGCUAAGCUCGGCGACAAUGGGAAUAAGAGAGUUGUGGUGUAUGUGAAAUCUGGUAUUUAUAACAAAUAUGUGGAAAUUGGAUGAAGUUGACGAUCGGUGAGGCACGCGAUGAGAUCAAGUUUUUGGACGGAGUUGUGUUGAUUUUUUCUAAAAUGGUCAAAUACAGGUAUAUAUAGAGAUGGUCAACCUCCAAGAUUUCUUUUUGGUUCUUCGUAUAUCAAUAUCAGCGAUCCUAAUGCCACUCCCAAUUGACUCAUUCCAAUGAUUCUGAAGCCUCCACAAGAAAAUGGCCAGCAUCCCACUCCCAAUCGAGAUUAGCAAUCAACUCCAAUCACCUAAGAUCGCUGCCCCAGUUUGGUUCUUCGCCUAAGAUAUUGUUCCUUUGUCAAAUUCACACAAAAGCCCUAAAUCAUCAAAUCUUCUUCUGCUCAACUUGGGUCCUCUGCCCAACCCCACUUCGUCGAUUCAUUGGCUUCAGGUAUUUUGUUAUUUUUCAUUUCUAGAAAUUUCAGUUAAUAUACAAAUGAGUUAAGAUUCUCGUACGUAUGUAGGAAAAAUGAAGUUUAAUUUUGUACAAUUGAUUUCUCAAAUCAAUUAUAAGAUAAUCUUUGUUUUCAAGUUUAUGGUAUGUUUUCCCUAAAAAAAAACCAGUUAGAGAAAAUAGCAUGCUUACAGUAGACCCUUCACAUCUCUGCCUUUUAAAAUUAAGGUGAAUUUGGUUGAUUUUUUCUAGGUUUAUUUCAUUCAUUAUAUGUUUGAUUUUAUUGGCUAAUAGUGUCUAAAAUUAUUUUAGGGUGUAUUGGAAGUUCUUGUGAAAUUGAAGAUUAUAGGGUGGGUGUCGUGUGGUUGGUGAAUUGGGUCUCUGAUCAAGAAGAUUGCCACGAUUUUAAUUAAGCCAUUUGCCAGACUUGAGUGCCUAAGAACAUUUUGGCUGUAAUUCUUGUGAAUGAUGGAUUGUGGAUUACAUGAAUUGUGAUGACUUUUAAUAAAUUAUUAACAAUUAUUAAAAGUUAAUAAUUGAGAAAAACAGACUUAUUUUCUUUGAUAAUUCAUUUGAGAAAGGAGAACAAAUGAAAAUUACAAAUAAAAAUCAAAAUAGGUUGCUGGAGUCUCAAAAUAAUGGAGACAAUCUUGCUAUACAUUUUAUUUAUUUAUUUAUAUUUGAUGAAGAUAUAGAAGACUGUUAAAUCUUAGAUUGAUCAUUUUGGACAUCGGGAUGAGAAUCUAAAUUAUGCAAUCAUUUUUUUUUUUUUUGACGAGACUAAAUUAUGCAAUCAUUGAUUCAAAUGUUAACGUCAAACACCAUAAUAGAGAUAACACUAUUUUUCGUCAUUGUAAUAUGUUUUAUUUAAUUAAUUCUCUCUUUUUCUUUUACGGAGCUGAGAGCUUUUUUUCCCUUGGGAAGUUUAUGUAUUUCUCUAUUUUCAUCAAUGUUGCCUUAUUAUAGUUGACAAACAAGGUGGUAGUGACAAUAACCAGGUAUGUCUACCAUUGCUUUAGCUAUACUAAUUUGCAAUGACAUAUACAUUUGUUUGAAAAGCUUGCUUGGCAGCUGUCUUAGUUUUCUUAACACUCUUUCUUAACAAAAUUUAAGAUGGCUAUAAGAUGCUGUAGAGAAGCAAUCAUUUAUAGUCAACGAAAAUUAUAAAAAUAUUGGUACAAGUUUUAUAUCCUUACUCUUAAUUUUUAUUGUUUCUUAAUUUUUAUUGUUUGCAGAAUUGGACAUUUAAAUUUGGUUUAUGAAUUAUAACUAUAGUUAAAUAAUGAUGGAGAGCUAGCCUGGACUAAAUGAUGGAGAUGAAAUAGCAGAUACACUGGGCACAAAAAAAAUCGUUAGAGGGGAAGCAUAUCCAAAUUGUUCAUGGAUUUAUGGCAAUCUUAUCAAAAUAGAUGCUUCAGGUUGGCAAGCUUGUAUUUUACAGCACGAGUGUGAUGAUUUAGAGAGAACUCUUAAUGCUGAUACAAUGGUGCCUAGAACAUUCAGGACUGUAGAAAACUUAGAUUUGCCUCUACCAAAUGAAUGCCCCAAAUCAUUUUGAGAAAAAUUUACAUAAUUUGAUGCAAGGGGAUAAAGAUUGAGUUUCACAUAUAUUUUGCUUGGAUUCUUGUACUCCUUCUUUGUGCAAGUUUGUACUGUUGUAUAUCAAAAUUCAUUUGUUCUUGAGCAAAAUGUAACCACAUUAGGAAAGUGGCCAUCUCUGCUUAACUCUGAGUGUCAGUUUUCAGCCAUGAAUAACCAGAAAAAGAUCUGAAUGUGUUAGAUACAUUCAGCCUAAAUUUUGUAAUUGGGAUUAUUGUAUAAAUAUAUUUGAAUCAUUAUGAUGUAUAAAAGAGACAUUUUCUCUCUC